RNAcentral lists this ribosomal RNA (905 nucleotides) under Thermothelomyces myriococcoides. RNAcentral describes it as "partial large subunit ribosomal RNA". It matches the Rfam family "Eukaryotic large subunit ribosomal RNA", at positions 31 to 969 of the family's 3401-position model. Lineage: Eukaryota; Fungi; Ascomycota; Sordariomycetes; Sordariales; Chaetomiaceae. The record is from RNAcentral.
GACUUAAGCAUAUCAAUAAGCGGAGGAAAAGAAACCAACAGGGAUUGCCCUAGUAACGGCGAGUGAAGCGGCAACAGCUCAAAUUUGAAAUCUGGCUUCGGCCCGAGUUGUAAUUUGCAGAGGAAGCUUUAGGCGCGGCACCUUCUGAGUGCCCUGGAACGGGACGCCAUAGAGGGUGAGAGCCCCGUAUAGUUGGAUGCCUAGCCUGUGUAAAGCUCCUUCGACGAGUCGAGUAGUUUGGGAAUGCUGCUCAAAAUGGGAGGUAAAUUUCUUCUAAAGCUAAAUACCGGCCAGAGACCGAUAGCGCACAAGUAGAGUGAUCGAAAGAUGAAAAGCACUUUGAAAAGAGGGUUAAAUAGCACGUGAAAUUGUUGAAAGGGAAGCGCUUGUGACCAGACUUGCGCCGGGUUGAUCAUCCGGUGUUCUCACCGGUGCACUCUGCCCGGCUCAGGCCAGCAUCGGUUCUCGCGGGGGGAUAAAGGUCCGGGGAAUGUAGCUCCUCCGGGAGUGUUAUAGCCCCGGGCGUAAUACCCUCGCGGGGACCGAGGAUCGCGCUUCGGCAAGGAUGCUGGCGUAAUGGUCAUCAGCGACCCGUCUUGAAACACGGACCAAGGAGUCAAGGUUUUGCGCGAGUGUUUGGGUGUAAAACCCGCACGCGUAAUGAAAGUGAACGUAGGUGAGAGCUUCGGCGCAUCAUCGACCGAUCCUGAUGUUCUCGGAUGGAUUUGAGUAGGAGCGUAAAGCCUUGGACCCGAAAGAUGGUGAACUAUGCUUGGAUAGGGUGAAGCCAGAGGAAACUCUGGUGGAGGCUCGCAGCGGUUCUGACGUGCAAAUCGAUCGUCAAAUCUGAGCAUGGGGGCGAAAGACUAAUCGAACCAUCUAGUAGCUGGUUACCGCCGAAGUUU